GAGUUUGAUCUUGGCUCAGGAUGAACGCUGGCGGCGUGCUUAACACAUGCAAGUCGAACGAAGCGCCUUAUUUGAUUUUCUUCGGAACUGAAGAUUUGGUGACUGAGUGGCGGACGGGUGAGUAACGCGUGGGUAACCUGCCCUGUACAGGGGGAUAACAAUCAGAAAUGACUGCUAAUACCGCAUAAGACCACAGCACCGCAUGGUGCAGGGGUAAAAACUCCGGUGGUACAGGAUGGACCCGCGUCUGAUUAGCUGGUUGGUGAGGUAACGGCUCACCAAGGCGACGAUCAGUAGCCGGCUUGAGAGAGUGAACGGCCACAUUGGGACUGAGACACGGCCCAAACUCCUACGGGAGGCAGCAGUGGGGAAUAUUGCACAAUGGGGGAAACCCUGAUGCAGCAACGCCGCGUGAGUGAAGAAGUAUUUCGGUAUGUAAAGCUCUAUCAGCAGGGAAGAAAGUGACGGUACCUGACUAAGAAGCCCCGGCUAACUACGUGCCAGCCG
Molecule: ribosomal RNA, 507 nt
Filed under: uncultured microorganism
Description: bacterial SSU rRNA
Rfam family: Bacterial small subunit ribosomal RNA
Source: RNAcentral